This is a long non-coding RNA of Toxotes jaculatrix (banded archerfish), 7515 nucleotides long. RefSeq lists it as uncharacterized. The transcript has 7 exons. NCBI's taxonomy places the organism in Eukaryota, Metazoa, Chordata, Actinopteri, Toxotidae. The record is from RefSeq and is a predicted model, not a curated record.
GUGUACCCCGCCUCUCGCCCGUAGUCAGCUGGGAUAGGCUCCAGCUCCCCCACGACCCUGACAGAUAUAGCAGUAUAGAAAAUGGAUGGAUGGAUGCAUGGAUAGUAAAUGUACCACAGCCCAGGCUUUUUACAACAGGCUUUUUACAACAGGCUUUUUUUCCCCUAUUUGUUUAUUUAUUAACUGCUCAGUUAUAGUUUCUGUAAAUUUAUUUCAUUCUAAGUUUUCCCAUAUUGCCACCAGUGGACAGUGUGCAGGUGUUUGAACUCCUGCACACUGUCACCUCUAUGUUUAUUGAAAAUGAAUCAUUUAGGCCACAGGACUUUGUGUCUGACUUUAAGUUUUCCCUUAUUUUGCAGAAACUGUCAACACCUACGUGAUGGACUGGCUCACAAGUUUGUCCCAGAAGAUGAAUCCUAAAGGGCUAUACUGAUCCUCUCAGCAGCCAGCAAGUCGUCCCGACAGGUCGGCAGGUUGACAAACGUGAAGAUGUUAUACUCGAUGAGGCAGGAGAAACACAGGAAGAUGGAGUAGAGGAGGAGACACAUCAGACCCAAACGCUUGUCCAAAGUCCACUUGUUUAGGUGAACUCCAAGGACCUGAUUGGACAGAUUGGGACAAACACAGAGAGAGAGAGAGACAAGUCAGGAAGCUGUCAGAGGCUGAAACUGUAGAGAUUCAGGAUUCAGUUCAGUUAUCAUUAUAUCACACAGGGUAUAAUGAAAUUACAGAUGUCUCUUUAUGUGAAAGUGUCCUAUUACAGAACUUAAUGAGUCAAGACAUGUAUAAGACAUGUCAUAUACUCACGGUCAGAAACACAGACGCCAGCAGGAGUCCCACAGAGAAGAUCAGGCCUUUGCUGUUCAGUUUGAUCUACAGGAGGAUCACGGGUGAGACAUUAGCAUCACCACCGGCACGUCUACGCCAAUAUGACGAAAAGGAUGAUGAACGAGAGCCGAAACAAGUCUUCCUGUCACCAUGUUUGCAAACUCAAAGCUGCAGAUUUACAGACGUUGUACCCAAACUUAAGUCCUCCACCGGUCCCCCUGAUCCACUUCCAUCCACUUGGCAGCAUUAACUCUAACAUCACAGACUGUCAUAGGGACAUUGUGGACGUUCCCGUACGUAACUGAGCGUGGACGAAUCAACACCCUCUCUGUAUAUUUCGUUAAAGCUGGAAGAAGAAAUGAGGAGCGUGGGACUUACGUCAGAGCCGUAGUUGAUAGCGAGGGUCUUCAGGGCCCAGGGUAGACCAAGCCCAACCAAGAUGUCAAACACGUUACUGCCGAUGGAGUUGGACACCGCCAUGUCUCCCAUUCCUGAACAAGGGAACAGGAAAAGAAAUGUUACAGAGUCUGGGAGACAGAGGUGGUGGGGGUGAGGAGGAGGAGGAGGGAGAGGAGGCAACAUGUUUGGAUGAAGGCAGGUCAGCCCCCAAUGAGAUCACUGGAACUAUCUGUCCAAAUGACAUCCCGAAUGAAACAGCGAAGCGACAGCGGCUACAAAGCGAAGGACGGACGGCUAACCUGCGGUGGCAAGCGUUCGUCUCCCAGUGAGCCUCCCCACGCAGACAGACAGGGCCGUUUAAAUAUUUGAUGGCAGGAGCAAGAAUAAACACAGAUGAAAGGAUGGAGGAAGGGACCCUGAUGGGCUGUCUUCCCUCUGCACCACCCCUCUCACAACCCCCUUUCACAGCCUCACCACAGGGACAGAAGAGGGACAAAAAGAGGACAGGCCCACACCACCUACCCCAACACCCCCCCACCCAUCCAAAAACCACCACACUCCUCUCCAUCCUCUCUCUCUCUCUCUCUCUCUGUCAUCUCCACCCCUCUCCAGCUCUUUGAUAGUGGCUUCCCUUUGAUUCUCCGUGGCUUCCAUCGGGCAGCAAGGUCACGUGUCCAACUCUUUGUGUACUUUUUACACGUUAACCCGCUCGGCUUCGGUUUUAAAGUCAGACACACGCAAACAACUUUUACUACUGUCACUUUACUGUCACUUCCCGUGUUAAAUGUGUGAUUACCUUGUCUUGCCACGAUGAGGCUGGCCAUGCAGUCCGGUACGCUGGUGCCAGCCGCCAAGAAGGUGAUGCCCAUGAUGACGUCUGGGAUGCCGAGCGUGAAGCCUAUAACCGUAACCUGAGACACACACACACACACAAAGACAGAAAUGUUGGCUGUUAGAUCCAGUGGCGUUUUCACACUUUGCAUGUUUUUAACAUUCCUCAGGGGCACAGGUGAAAAGAAUCUAGCUAAUCUUGACUUUGUUUGCAGUCUCUUCCUCUGCAUCUAUGUGCUUCUAAAUUGCUCUUAUUUCAUAUUUUCACCAAUGCACUUCCUCCUCCAGAUGCAGACCUUCCUCCCUGCUCCAGUUUGGUCUUCUUUUUCAUUCUACAUCAGCCAAUUUUCUCUAAUUUCACCCUUGUUUAUACGGCUAAAGGGGAGCUCUAUUAAUUCCGCACAUCGACUGCUGCUAGGAAUAUUAAAGAUUUCACACAAAUAUAAUUAACUUCAAAAUAAUCAAGUUGCUCAGGCUCUGGCAGAAAAGCAUGUCACUCUAUUUUUCUUUUUUGUUUUUCUAUGUACAUGUCUGUGAGUUUGCCCUCCCCUGUGUCUCUUCCCAUCUCUCACCAUCCAGACCAUGAUGUAGGAGAAGCCGGCGAUCCACAGGGUGGAGGAGACGAAGGACAGCAUGAACCAGUUGUCCCAGCGAGGCGUGGAGCAGUUGGGGACGGUGAAGUACAGGAGCAGGCACAGAGGCCAGGCCAGCAGCCACUUCAGCUUGUUACACACACCGGCUGCAAACACACAGGACACCAUACCGUGUUACGCUGAGUCAGCACCCAGAUACAUGGGCUGCAUGAAGAGGGAAUAAUCUGCUGUCUAACACCUAACCGGGCCCUGUCCACAGCUAAAACAAGUGUGGCUGCUAACACCUCUAAAGCUCCAGCUCUGGACAUAACACACAGAUGUGAGAGCGGCCCUGGUUUUCCAAUUUCCCUCUUAGAAGGAAAACAAAAGUAUUUCUAAAAAUGCUGAACUAGUUUUUAAAACAUACCUGGGCACUGGAAAGGUACAAAGGGUCCCUCUCCAUCCUCUUCUUCUUCCUCUUCAUCAUUCUCAUUGUUCUCGUUGUCCUCGUUCUCCGUCUCGUUACCCGUCUCUCGGUCAUCGUGGCGAAUGUUGAGACCCCUCUCUGCUCCGGACAGCCCGUUUUCAAUGCCCCGCCUACUUCCUCCUUUCACCGGAACAUCGGAGUCGCCAUUGGUCAAAGUCCGUGUGUUGAUUAGACGCUGCCUCUGUAUCACGAACACACACACACACACACACCCAUGCACAAAAACAUAAAAGCACGAGGGGUUAAAUUCUAAAUUACAUUCAUACAUUUCUACUUACGUCUGCUCAGAUGAAUUUCACUUAAGGAAACAUUAUGAAAUGAAAAAUAGAAAAUAUAUAUUUCUUCUUCAAGUGGACUUCAGCUAAGUGAUGGACCAAAAGGUAUGUUCGCUGCUCAGUAACAGGUCAUGUCUGGCCUCCGUGCAGCAGCAGAUUACCUUGUUAAAGACCCUGUCUGAAACGCUUUUCCCUCUGAGUAAAAGACGCCGCAGCUUCUUUUCAAAUUGCUUCUUUUUUUUCUCUCUCUCCCUCUCUCUCUUUUUUUUUUUUUUUCAAUCAGAAAUGCAGCCGCAGCGUGCCCGUGUGCCCGUCCUCACCUCUGUGAUGAGCAUUCGCGAGGCCAUGGUGAGGCGGGUUCUGGGGGAGAAGUGGCUGGUGAUCAUGAUCCUCAUGCCAGCCUCGGAGAAGGACAGCUGAUGGGGGUACGCUGACAGCAGCUCGUCCACCAUCAGCACUGACGGCUUCCUGUGGUGGUUUGCUAGAAGACACACACACACACACAUAUGACCACUACAGAACAUGUCCAUGCAUUCCAGACCAUGUAAUGACUGUACAUGUCAAACUACAGCAGAGGACCCCACAUUAGGAUUUGGGGUUUUUAGAGCAGCUGCUUUUAUUCUUCCAUGUGGUUUGUUUUCAUAGGUUUUCAGGUGAAGCAGGUGUUCAUGCUAGCUAACCUGCUCAUCACCUGGUGGCACAAUUGCAAAGUCCCUGUAACACCAGAGCCGGGCUGAACCUCCUUACCUGAGCCCUGAGCCAUGUAAACUGUUUUCAUAUAUAAAAUACUGUUACUCCUUACUGAAAGAUGUGUGUCCAUAUUGCAGUUAAUCAACAUUUUAAAUUCAAUAUCUAGGCACUCACUGAAUUAUUGUAAUGUAACAAACACACAGCUGGACGUGCGUACCUUUCUUCAGCAGAACAGCUGUAGCAUCACAGCCGUCGUCCAGCUCAGCGUUACUGGCCGCUCCGUUCCUCAGACUGGACGAGUUCUUCUUCCUCCUCUCCAGAAAACGAACCACAUGGGAAUUCAACCUGGAACAGACAUGGAGCGAUCCAGUUCACCAGCAGUUCACGGCUUCAUUGCUUAGGAGAGGACUCUUAUUCAUUAAUUAUUUGUCAGUCAAUAAUCAUCAGUCCUGUAAGAGAAGGAGGUGUUUGAAUCAAACUUACUUCAUGAUCAAAAUGUAGACAAAAUACAUCAGAAUCAGCGUGAGGGCCUCCCACCUGGAAGAAAAAAAAACACAGUUCGACUCAGUUUACCAUGUGUACUUUUAGCAAACUGGAAUUCAUAGAUGUCUCGUCACAUUCCUUGUAAUUCCAGCAAUCAAUGCUUAUAUAAAUCUGACUCACCAAACCACUUUUUCAUCGUAUAUGAACUGUAGAAAAGAAGAGAGAUAGAGAGAGAGAGAGCAGUGAAAAUCACAGGCCUGAACAUGUGUAUCUAUACAGCUGUGGAAAACCACUCAUUGUAAAAAGGAAAAUAUAAAUACAAUCAGAUUUAUCAGUCCAGCUGGUUGUUAAAGUGAGAUGGUAAAACUUUUCAUCAAUCAAUAUAAUGUGUAAUGUUCAUGUGACUGAGUUUGUGCUUUAUCAAGCUGCUUCUUACCACUAUGAGAGCAGAGAUCGACAGAGUGUAGUAGACAGAGUCUCUGAGCAGAGGCCAGCAGGACAGACGGACUGUCUGGGAGAGAGAAGGACACACACACACACACACACACACAGAAGGAAUGAAAUGAAAUGAUGCUACAACUUGCAGACACUGAGCUCCAAUUUCUGUCCUGUUGAGUAACACAUCCCACAAGGUACUCACUGCUGUGCACGACUAACAAGAUAAACCAACCAAGCUCUCUCUCUCUGAGUGUGUGUGUAUGUGUGGCUCUUAUGUAACUUGUAAUCUAAAUAGAAAAAAAAAAAAUCUUUCAAGUAUGUUUCUCUUUUCCUUGUGGGAUUAUAGCAGUGAACAGGACAGAUAACACUUUCUACCACACACACACUCACUUCUGCUGCAAAAUAAAAGCAGCUGUGAUGAGAGUGUGUGUACUCUUCAUCCGAGGUUUUUCAUGUGAACGCCGAUGUGUCGACUUAGGCGCGCUUGCAAAUGGUUUUCAGACUGGCCCGAGGCAGACACAAUCAAGCAUAAAGAAAAUUUGAAAGAAUAAAUAUUGCUCGGCACAACAUCUGUCUGUCUGCGUUUUUUAUUUUUUACGUAUGUAUGUAUGAAGUGGCCUUAAAUGGUUUAAUUGCUGCUUUUCCUCACACAAGCAGUGCUUAAAGUUCUUGGUAAAAAUUUGGAAGAACAUUACUGACAUGGUCACUGUGUGUUGUGUUGUGUUGUGUUGUACCUGCAGGGUGAAUAUCCCACACACUCCAAUAAUGCAGAGGAUGUUGAAGACGGCUGAGCCCACGAUGGUGCCGACCCCGACGUCACCUUUAGUGAUGAACACUCCUGCACACACGGGGACACAGAGAGCUGCAGGAAGGUUCAGCUGACACAGGAGUGGGUGCUUCACUGUCCCACUGGAAACAAGUGCUUUGGACAGAUGAAGUUAAAACGGAGCUCUUUGCACUUUGCCAACAGUUCAGCAUGGAGGGGCCUUUUCCAGUUUGUCUUCCAGCGCAGUGUAACUGAUUUAAACCUACACGAAUGAAGAAACCAACAAGAUUCGUCUCAAACAAAUGUGUGCGAUGCAGCGAUGCAGGUGACACUCACACAGAGGACGUGCAGGCCCACCGCUCCUUCAGCUCUCUCCUGGUUGGUGAAGUAAUCCCUGGGGAACUCGUGGAUUGCUGCAGAGAGAGAAAAAAAAAAUGCACAAAUGCUGAAUGAACUGAAGAUACCCAAAGGGCGGAAUGUCUCAUCAACCCAAAUCUUCCUCAUCAUUCUCCUCUGAUGUACAAGUCAGCUGUGCCUGGUAACCACCCCUACAACCCCCUCCUGGUCCACCGUUGUCUCCCACACCAGGCUGAAAUGGACGGCUGCAGACCGUGAGGCUUGUGGACAGUCUGCUGCAGUGCUCACACUGUUCACUCUCAGCACACGAGCCCGAGAUCAGUCAGCGGCUGAAAAGGGAUAAAGAUGAAAGGCUCCACCAGUGAAGGAAACAUGGAUGAAAUUGAAGGAUGAGGAAUGCUCCCUGUGACCCUGUGGAGGGAAUCUGAAGGGAAAAACAAAGUGAGCAGAUCAUCACAGAUCUCCGGUUAGCCUUUGCUUCUCUUCUUUUUCUCUUCUCCAUCAGUGAAACCCAGCGUGAACCCAUCUGAGAUCUGAAGACUGACUCCACGGUUCCACGGUGCCCCUCGACGGGACACACCAUUUAAUCACCCUCCUCUCCACAAUGACAGCUUCACCACUGUGACAGGCAUUUAACGAGCUCCGGCCCGGGAAUAUGCUGUUGUCUGUCGUUCUGUAUGCGUGCAACCCCCCCCCGUCAUAUUUCUGACACAUAGAGCUGAGUAAAGUGAUCUCUGAGUCGAGAGAGGGGAAAAGAAGGAAGAGGGGAGAUUUAAACUACACUGCACAGGACGACAGCGUCGACGCAGGCUCAAGCAUGUGUAAAUGUGAGACAGACGCAAAUAACAAAAACCACACAUAGAGGGACAGAGGGAGUGAUCAUAUCUGUGUGUGGAGGCCUGUGUGUAUCCAUCUGUGGCACAUCAGUGACAGCAAGAGCUGCUUUCUGUUGCAGAUGGAGAAAACUACACAACUUUUUGUGUGUGUGUGUGUGUGUGUGCCACUUCCUAGCUAAAGGUUACAUGGUAAUACUGGCAUUUAAUCGGUGAAGCAGCAAACGUGGGCAGCAAGAAAUCAGAGUAUGACCUGUGCUGACCUGGGACUCAUAUUAUACAUAUUCACACAGAAAAAUCAAUAUAAUCUUUUGUCAAUGUCUCACCUGUGGAUGAUGGCGUGUGUAAAGUAGGUGUCCAAUAUAUUUCUCUGCCCCUAUAUUUGAUCUGCCUCUAAGCUGUGUUGUUAUUAUUGUUGUUUCAUUCUAUGAAACAUAUAACUAUUGUUUAAAAAGGUGAUGAUUGGCCUACAUGUGGAAAUACAGUCAGUCCUGUGAUCACAUCUUUGCAUGUAGAUGAAGCUCGUAUCGAUGACAUACAGUAUAUUUUAAAAAGA